Molecule: long non-coding RNA, 289 nt
Organism: Thalassophryne amazonica
Lineage: Eukaryota; Metazoa; Chordata; Actinopteri; Batrachoidiformes; Batrachoididae
Exons: 4
Source: RefSeq, a predicted model, not a curated record
AUUUGUUACAUAUAUUUUACAGUUAUUUAUAAUAAAGUUCACAUUUAAACUGUCAAACACCAAGCCUCAAUUACUUUUCUUUGUCAUAAGGGUUUGAUAAAGAAAAGUUAGGAAUAAUUACCAGUUUCUGCGUACGUAUCGACAGUUAUAUAUCGGUCAAAAUUUUUUACUCUCUAAAAUCUGUAUCCUAUCAGCCCCCCCAAAAAUUCAUAUUGUUCAGGCUCUAAUGCAAACACACACAAACACACUCCACGCGGCUCUGCUUGUGCUUGUCUGAACAGAGUGCAGA